RNAcentral lists this long non-coding RNA (625 nucleotides) under Xyrichtys novacula (pearly razorfish). Lineage: Eukaryota; Metazoa; Chordata; Actinopteri; Labriformes; Labridae. The record is from RNAcentral.
AAAAAAACUUUGCAGCUUCUUGAAAUUGGAAAAUAUCUUAUCUUAUUCCAAUGGCAGAUUUAUUUUUGUUUUCACUCAUUACAAAUGGUUCAGAUUUUCUCUUUGACGUGUAACAGAAGUAAGACCAAAACGCUUCUGUAGAGUACAGUUGGAGUUUUUUCCUACUGUAGCACCUCCAGCUUCAGCACCUCCAAAACUCAGCUGUGAGACCAGGAAGAGAGCCCACAUUACCCAGAUUUUACAGUCUCUGCAUCAGCUCUAAGUUUCUUUUAGAAUAGAUUUUAAGGUUCUUUUAUUAGUUUUUAAAGCCUUUGACAACCUUACAUCAACCAAUCUAUCAGAUUUGCUUCUAUUAUAUGAUCCUGUGAGGGCCUUCAGUUCUGAGGAGCUGGGAACCUAAAGACUUGAGCAAAGCAAACUAAAGAACUUUAUUUUGAGUUUGAUCUUCUUCAGGUAACUCUGUUCAUCAGUUUCUUUUACUUUAUUCUGUAAUGUUUUCACCCUGAAUUGUGGUCUACUUUAUUCAGCCAUAUGUUAUUCUUUUAUUAUGUUAACUUUCUUUGUGUCUUAUCUCAAUUUAUUUAUUUCUAAGCUGAUUUCUCAGUCCUAUCCAGUUGUCUUUUUU